Molecule: ribosomal RNA, 427 nt
Filed under: uncultured archaeon
Lineage: Archaea
Description: bacterial SSU rRNA
Rfam family: Archaeal small subunit ribosomal RNA
Source: RNAcentral
UACCAGCUCUCCGAGUGGUAGGGAUGAUUAUUGGGCUUAAAGCGUCCGUAGCCGGCUUAGCAAGUCUCCUGUUAAAUUCAGCGACCUAAUCGUUGAGCCGCGGGAGAUACUACUAGGCUAGGAGGCGGGAGAGGUCAGCGGUACUUCCGGGGUAGGGGUGAAAUCCUAUAAUCCCGGGAGGACCACCAGUGGCGAAGGCUGUUGACUAGAACGCGCUCGACGGUGAGGGACGAAAGCUGGGGGAGCGAACCGGAUUAGAUACCCGGGUAGUCCCAGCUGUAAACGAUGCGAGCUAGGUGUUGGGGUGGCUACGUGCCACUUCAGUGCCGCAGGGAAGCCAUUAAGCUCGCCGCCUGGGGAGUACGGCCGCAAGGCUGAAACUUAAGGAAUUGGCGGGGAGCACCACAAGGCGUGAAGCUUGCGGUUC